Molecule: ribosomal RNA, 427 nt
Filed under: uncultured beta proteobacterium
Lineage: Bacteria; Pseudomonadati; Pseudomonadota; Betaproteobacteria
Description: bacterial SSU rRNA
Rfam family: Bacterial small subunit ribosomal RNA
Source: RNAcentral
UGGGGAAUUUUGGACAAUGGGCGAAAGCCUGAUCCAGCCAUGCCGCGUGAGUGAAGAAGGCCUUCGGGUUGUAAAGCUCUUUUAGUCGGAAAGAAAGUGUUGCAGUGAAUAAUUGAGAUUUAUGACGGUACCGACAGAAAAAGCACCGGCUAACUACGUGCCAGCAGCCGCGGUAAUACGUAAGGUGCGAGCGUUAAUCGGAAUUACUGGGCGUAAAGGGUGCGCAGGCGGUCUUGCAAGUCAGAUGUGAAAGCCCCGGGCUUAACCUGGGAAUUGCGUUUGAAACUACAAGGCUAGAGUGCAGCAGAGGGGAGUGGAAUUCCAUGUGUAGCAGUGAAAUGCGUAGAGAUGUGGAAGAACACCGAUGGCGAAGGCAGCUCCCUGGGUUGACACUGACGCUCAUGCACGAAAGCGUGGGGAGCAAACA